Molecule: long non-coding RNA, 630 nt
Organism: Ornithorhynchus anatinus (platypus)
Lineage: Eukaryota; Metazoa; Chordata; Mammalia; Monotremata; Ornithorhynchidae
Exons: 2
Source: RefSeq, a predicted model, not a curated record
GUUCGGGAGUGAGGGGAGGCCUUCUAUAGUGUGGAAUUUCUGCACCAGUCGGGAGUUGCAUACCUUAAAUUCUCUCCCUUUUUCCCUUUCCCACGGUCUAAAACCGGGCCAUGAGACCAAGUGAUCUGGCUGGGACGGCCACAUCUCGAGUUCAGGUGCUGUUUGAAGGGACAAGGAAGAGUUCACUGGUCCCACUGUUUACCAACCCAAAUGAAGCUUCCACGUCAUAUGAAGUCACUUAGAGGAAUAGGAAGAAGCACAAGCGUGGGCAUUGUCCCGGUAUCCCGUAUUUCCACAGAAAUAAUGAGGUCGACCUGGUCGCGGGUAUUCUGAGAGAGUCAACAUGGGAGAGAGAUGGCAGUACAUAUAUUAACUACGUUCGCCGACUUUCCUCAAGACCUCUGAUUUAAUCCUUCUGUAUAAUUUCAAGUCGCAUGGUGAUUUAACGUGCUUUCGUUAAUCCAUUUACUUAUAUUUAUGUGCAUAAAAAUUUGUCUUGACAACAAGACUGUAAAUCUCCCUAAAUGUUUGAACGCACCUGACCUUCCAAAUAACAACAUUCCCAGGAGAAUGACUGAACAUCUGUGUGAGUCAUUUUUGUCUGAAUUAAAUUUUUGAUGAGCUGGGUAA